GGGUUCCACCUCUUCCCAUUCCGAACAGAGAAGUUAAGCCCACCCACGCCGAUGGUACUGCGUAACAGUGGGAGAGUAGGUAGCCGCCGUUU
Molecule: ribosomal RNA, 92 nt
Filed under: Bacteroidota bacterium
Lineage: Bacteria; Pseudomonadati; Bacteroidota
Source: RNAcentral